This is a non-coding RNA of Acanthosepion pharaonis, 94 nucleotides long. NCBI's taxonomy places the organism in Eukaryota, Metazoa, Mollusca, Cephalopoda, Sepiida, Sepiidae. The record is from the annotation of a GenBank genome assembly.
AUUGAAAUACCAGUUCCCAUAUAAUCACCAAAGUUAAGCAAUAUUGAGCCUGGUCAGUAUUUAGAUGGGUGCCUACUUAGGAAUACCAUGUGCU